This is a non-coding RNA of Arachis ipaensis, 258 nucleotides long. Lineage: Eukaryota; Viridiplantae; Streptophyta; Magnoliopsida; Fabales; Fabaceae. The record is from RefSeq and is a predicted model, not a curated record.
GAUGAUUAUCAAGUGCCUUGCAGCAUUUUCGCCGGUGAUGGAAUGUUGAGGCUUCUAUAGUAAUUAACAAUGUUUAAGUUAUGCAUUGGUGAUAUAAGGGGAGAGGACCAAGGCAUAUAUUUUGAGAGGUCAUAGCACUCCUGAGGUUCUUCCUAAGAGAUGGAUGACAGUCAUAAAAAAACAGAUGGCAAGUUAUAGAAAAAUGGAUGAACUCUUGCUUGUGUCUUUGAAGGAUUUUAUCCAAAUCUUGAGUUUGUG